UGAGGAAUAUUGGUCAAUGGGCGAGAGCCUGAACCAGCCAAGUAGCGUGCAGGAUGACGGCCCUAUGGGUUGUAAACUGCUUUUAUAUGGGAAUAAAGUGAGGGACGUGUCCCUUAUUGCAUGUACCAUACGAAUAAGGACCGGCUAAUUCCGUGCCAGCAGCCGCGGUAAUACGGAAGGUCCAGGCGUUAUCCGGAUUUAUUGGGUUUAAAGGGAGCGUAGGCUGUUUGUUAAGCGUGUUGUGAAAUGUAAGAGCUCAACUUUUAGAUUGCAGCGCGAACUGGCAGACUUGAGUGCGCACAACGUAGGCGGAAUUCAUGGUGUAGCGGUGAAAUGCUUAGAUAUCAUGAAGAACUCCGAUUGCGAAGGCAGCUUAUGGGAGUGUUACUGACGCUUAAGCUCGAAGGUGCGGGUAUCGAACAGG
This 424-nucleotide ribosomal RNA is filed under the name Verrucomicrobiota bacterium. RNAcentral describes it as "Verrucomicrobia bacterium partial 16S ribosomal RNA". It matches the Rfam family "Bacterial small subunit ribosomal RNA", at positions 355 to 776 of the family's 1533-position model. Lineage: Bacteria; Pseudomonadati; Verrucomicrobiota. The record is from RNAcentral.